This 253-nucleotide ribosomal RNA is filed under the name uncultured bacterium. RNAcentral describes it as "partial 16S ribosomal RNA". It matches the Rfam family "Bacterial small subunit ribosomal RNA", at positions 524 to 776 of the family's 1533-position model. The record is from RNAcentral.
UACGAAGGGGGCGAGCGUUGUUCGGAUUUACUGGGCGUAAAGGGCGCGCAGGCGGCCAUUCAAGUCAGGCGUGAAAGCCCCGGGCUUAACCUGGGAGGUGCGUCUGGGACUGGGUGGCUGGAGAUCGGGAGAGGAGAGUGGAAUUCCCAGUGUAGAGGUGAAAUUCGUAGAUAUUGGGAAGAACACCGGUGGCGAAGGCGGCUCACUGGCCCGGUACUGACGCUGAGGUGCGAAAGCGUGGGGAGCAAACAGG